ACAGUGGUUCCCUCUCCUGCUGGGUGGCCCAAGAAACACCUCCUUCCUCUCAUCCCUCCAGCCCUGGGAGAAGCAGGAGCUGGAGUAACCAAUCUCUGCUCUUCCAGCAAUUCUAGCACUUUCUGACUAUAUCCUCUAUUGGAUUGUCUAGCAUAUGUUUAUGGAUACUGACUUGUACAGAAGCCAAUAUGUCUAAAAUUGAUAAAUGAAGAAAUAACAGAAAUUGUUGAGCCUUCCCUUGUCCACCUUUGCGACCCCCAAUCGGUCAGUGUGGGAGCCAAGACGAGGAGUCCCUCCAGGGAGACGGGAGAUGGGAGAGCCAACCCAAGCACCUGGCGGGUCAUCAGAACUGGCACAAGGAUCUCCUGAGGCUUGAGGAACAAUAAUCUGUCUGACGUCUGCGGCAGUUGUUUUCCUGAACGGCGCUAUAAUCCUCACCUGCUGUUAAGAGAAGAUGCCUGCUGUGUCUCCAAGCAUCUCUUCCUGAAUUCUGGGCAGGAAGCUAGAAGAUUCCUGAUUCUUCUUUUGAAAUUUUCUCUUCAUAUCUGGGAAAGGAAAAGCUCCUCCAGGAUCCUAUGGCUACCCUAGCUG
Non-coding RNA from Manis javanica (Malayan pangolin), 591 nucleotides. Lineage: Eukaryota; Metazoa; Chordata; Mammalia; Pholidota; Manidae. The record is from RefSeq and is a predicted model, not a curated record.